Molecule: ribosomal RNA, 505 nt
Filed under: uncultured bacterium
Lineage: Bacteria
Description: partial 16S ribosomal RNA
Rfam family: Bacterial small subunit ribosomal RNA
Source: RNAcentral
GACGAACGCUGGCGGCGUGCCUAAUACAUGCAAGUAGAACGCACAGUUUAUACCGUAGCUUGCUACACCAUAAACUGUGAGUUGCGAACGGGUGAGUAACGCGUAGGUAACCUGCCUGGUAGCGGGGGAUAACUAUUGGAAACGAUAGCUAAUACCGCAUAAUAUUAAUUAUUGCAUGAUAAUUGAUUGAAAGAUGCAAUUGCAUCACUACCAGAUGGACCUGCGUUGUAUUAGCUAGUAGGUGAGGUAACGGCUCACCUAGGCGACGAUACAUAGCCGACCUGAGAGGGUGAUCGGCCACACUGGGACUGAGACACGGCCCAGACUCCUACGGGAGGCAGCAGUAGGGAAUCUUCGGCAAUGGACGAAAGUCUGACCGAGCAACGCCGCGUGAGUGAAGAAGGGUGUCGGAUCGUAAAGCUCUGUUGUAAGAGAAGAACGGGUGUGAGAGUGGAAAGUUCACACUGUGACGGUAGCUUACCAGAAAGGGACGGCUAACUACGUG